UAUGACGGGUAUCCGGCCUGAGAGGGUGAACGGACACACUGGAACUGAGACACGGUCCAGACUCCUACGGGAGGCAGCAGUAGGGAAUAUUGCUCAAUGGGCGCAAGCCUGAAGCAGCAACGCCGCGUGGAGGAUGAAGGUUUUAGGAUCGUAAACUCCUUUUGUUAGAGAAGAUAAUGACGGUAUCUAACGACUAAGCACCGGCUAACUCCGUGCCAGCAGCCGCGGUAAUACGGAGGGUGCAAGCGUUACUCGGAAUCACUGGCCGUAAAGAGCGCGUAGGCGGGAUAGUAAGUCAGGUGUGAAAUCCUAUGGCUUAACCAUAGAACUGCAUUUGAAACUACUAUUCUAGAGUGUGGGAGAGGUAGGUGGAAU
Molecule: ribosomal RNA, 375 nt
Filed under: uncultured Helicobacter sp.
Lineage: Bacteria; Pseudomonadati; Campylobacterota; Epsilonproteobacteria; Campylobacterales; Helicobacteraceae
Description: bacterial SSU rRNA
Rfam family: Bacterial small subunit ribosomal RNA
Source: RNAcentral